RNAcentral lists this ribosomal RNA (301 nucleotides) under uncultured bacterium. Its description in RNAcentral is "partial 16S ribosomal RNA". It matches the Rfam family "Bacterial small subunit ribosomal RNA", at positions 509 to 807 of the family's 1533-position model. The record is from RNAcentral.
CAGCCGCCGCGGUAAUGCGAAGGGGGCUAGCGUUGCUCGGAAUUACUGGGCGUAAAGGGCGCGUAGGCGGACAUUUAAGUCAGAGGUGAAAGCCCAGGGCUCAACCUUGGAACUGCCUUUGAUACUGGGUGUCUAGAGUGCGGGAGAGGUGUGUGGAACUCCGAGUGUAGAGGUGAAAUUCGUAGAUAUUCGGAAGAACACCAGUGGCGAAGGCGACACACUGGCCCGUAACUGACGCUGAGGCGCGAAAGCGUGGGGAGCAAACAGGAUUAGAUACCCGCGUAGUCCCUGUCUCUUAUAC